UACGGGGGGCGCAAGCGUUGUUCGGAUUUACUGGGCGUAAAGGGCGCGUAGGCGGCCAACUAAGUCAGACGUGAAAUCCCUCGGCUCAACCGGGGAACUGCGUCUGAUACUGGAUGGCUUGAAUUCGGGAGAGGGAUGCGGAAUUCCAGGUGUAGCGGUGAAAUGCGUAGAUAUCUGGAGGAACACCGGUGGCGAAGGCGGCAUCCUGGACCGAGAUUGACGCUGAUGCGCGAAAGCGUGGGGAGCGAACAGG
Molecule: ribosomal RNA, 253 nt
Filed under: uncultured bacterium
Lineage: Bacteria
Description: partial 16S ribosomal RNA
Rfam family: Bacterial small subunit ribosomal RNA
Source: RNAcentral